ACCAGUCAACCCGACUUCACACCACCACCCCUUCACCAAAACUCGCCACUGUUAGCCCUUAUGCCACCAAACGAUCAGUCCAACGUCCCCAACUAGUAGCGCCGCCGGACAGACCAUUGUUGAACCUCUCCGACGUCAUCCAGCCAACACUAACCACUGUUGCUUCACCGGAAAUCACCAGACCCUGUGCCAGACCUCAUGCCAACCACCCAACGACCACCCUUGAACUUCAUCUCCUUCACAUUCUAACACCCAUAAACCAUCACAAUUUUACCCCAAAUUAUCCCUUUUCAGCUUUAUCGUUUUGGUUUAGCUCGAGUUGUCCGACGAGUUACGAGUGCGAUUCGGAGUUGAGAAAAAUAGAAUAAGAUUUUGAGGUUAAAAUUCUGCUUCUUCUCACUACAAAAAUGGUUUGAGAUUUGGGUUGUUGAAGUUGAUUUCGAUUAUCCGUUUUCGAGUUUUGAGGUCUGGAUUUGAGUCCAUUCAGCGUCCGUUCAAUUACGUUCGAUAUUCCGGCUUGGUCUUCGGUCAGGUCUAUCCACGUUCAUCAUCCAUGACAUUCUCUAGGAUUGAUUCUGGCGUUAUUGUCUUGCAAUUGAGUAUGUGAUACUUUCUUGAUUGUUACUUGACAUAUAGAUGAAGAUCUGCUGUAUAUAUAUGCCUAAAUCUUCUAUACUCACUUUGUUUUUCUUAGGUUUUUUCUAAUGAAUUCAAACCAUGUUGUGUUGGUUCCUUCUGAAUGUUCACUGUUAAUACAUAUUUGGCUUAUUUGAGCAUAUGUCAUUGAGGUUUUAAUUCUCUACUAAAUGUGUUUUGUUAUCUUGCUCAUUUUAUGUGAAUAAUCAUGAAUAGCAG
Molecule: long non-coding RNA, 855 nt
Filed under: Nicotiana benthamiana
Lineage: Eukaryota; Viridiplantae; Streptophyta; Magnoliopsida; Solanales; Solanaceae
Description: long non-coding RNA (NBEN_LNC026092)
Source: RNAcentral